AGUCUGUGGUGCGUGCAACAUCGAAGCAAGUCUUUGUACCUCUCCCAAGCAUCAUACAUGCUCUCAUCGUCGAACUGCACAAAAGAAGAUAUAUCAUUUCUCAAUCU
Molecule: non-coding RNA, 107 nt
Organism: Ricinus communis (castor bean)
Lineage: Eukaryota; Viridiplantae; Streptophyta; Magnoliopsida; Malpighiales; Euphorbiaceae
Source: Rfam